This 994-nucleotide ribosomal RNA is filed under the name Salmonella enterica subsp. enterica serovar Bareilly. RNAcentral's name for it is "bacterial LSU rRNA". It matches the Rfam family "Bacterial large subunit ribosomal RNA", at positions 179 to 1211 of the family's 2925-position model. The record is from RNAcentral. Lineage: Bacteria; Pseudomonadati; Pseudomonadota; Gammaproteobacteria; Enterobacterales; Enterobacteriaceae.
GCGAACCGGGGGAACUGAAACAUCUAAGUACCCCGAGGAAAAGAAAUCAACCGAGAUUCCCCCAGUAGCGGCGAGCGAACGGGGAGGAGCCCAGAGCCUGAAUCAGCAUGUGUGUUAGUGGAAGCGUCUGGAAAGGCGCGCGAUACAGGGUGACAGCCCCGUACACAAAAGCGCAUGUGUUGUGAGCUCGAUGAGUAGGGCGGGACACGUGGUAUCCUGUCUGAAUAUGGGGGGACCAUCCUCCAAGGCUAAAUACUCCUGACUGACCGAUAGUGAACCAGUACCGUGAGGGAAAGGCGAAAAGAACCCCGGCGAGGGGAGUGAAAAAGAACCUGAAACCGUGUACGUACAAGCAGUGGGAGCACAGGUUUACCUGUGUGACUGCGUACCUUUUGUAUAAUGGGUCAGCGACUUAUAUUCUGUAGCAAGGUUAACCGUAUAGGGGAGCCGGAGGGAAACCGAGUCUUAAUUGGGCGUUAAGUUGCAGGGUAUAGACCCGAAACCCGGUGAUCUAGCCAUGGGCAGGUUGAAGGUUGGGUAACACUAACUGGAGGACCGAACCGACUAAUGUUGAAAAAUUAGCGGAUGACCUGUGGCUGGGGGUGAAAGGCCAAUCAAACCGGGAGAUAGCUGGUUCUCCCCGAAAGCUAUUUAGGUAGCGCCUCGUGAAUUCAUCUCCGGGGGUAGAGCACUGUUUCGGCUAGGGGGCCAUCCCGGCUUACCAACCCGAUGCAAACUGCGAAUACCGGAGAAUGUUAUCACGGGAGACACACGGCGGGUGCUAACGUCCGUCGUGAAGAGGGAAACAACCCAGACCGCCAGCUAAGGUCCCAAAGUCAUGGUUAAGUGGGAAACGAUGUGGGAAGGCCCAGACAGCCAGGAUGUUGGCUUAGAAGCAGCCAUCAUUUAAAGAAAGCGUAAUAGCUCACUGGUCGAGUCGGCCUGCGCGGAAGAUGUAACGGGGCUAAACCAUGCACCGAAGCUGCGGCAGCGA